RNAcentral lists this ribosomal RNA (626 nucleotides) under uncultured bacterium. RNAcentral describes it as "bacterial SSU rRNA". It matches the Rfam family "Bacterial small subunit ribosomal RNA", at positions 93 to 740 of the family's 1533-position model. The record is from RNAcentral.
GAGUGGCGAACGGCUGAGUAACACGUAGGUGACCUGCCCCGAAGUUUGGGAUAACAACUCGAAAGAGUUGCUAAUACCGGAUGUGACCACCGUCAUUUCGGUGCUUAAAGUCGUAAGACGCUUUGGGAGGGGCCUGCGGCGGAUUAGCUAGUUGGUGUGGUAACGGCAUACCAAGGCUUCGACCCGUAGCUGGUCUGAGAGGAUGGCCAGCCAGACUGGGACUGAGACACGGCCCAGACUCCUACGGGAGGCAGCAGUUAGGAAUUUUGCGCAAUGGAGGAAACUCUGACGCAGCCACGCCGCGUGAGGGAUGAAGGCCUUCGGGUCGUAAACCUCUUUUCUCAGGGAAGACACCCGACGGUACCUGAGGAAUAAGCAACGGCUAACUACGUGCCAGCAGCCGCGGUAAUACGUAGGUUGCGAGCGUUGUCCGGAUUUACUGGGCGUAAAGCGCGCGCAGGUGGUCCUGAAAGUCGAGCGUGAAAGCUCCCGGCCCAACUGGGAGAGGCCGUUCGAAACUUCAGGACUUGAAGGCGGGAGAGGCAAAUGGAAUUUCCGGUGUAGCGGUAAAAUGCGUAGAUACCGGAAGGAACACCAGUGGCGAAAGCGAUUUGCUGGCCCGCCCU